GGUGGCUUAGUAGUAGAGCGCUUGCCUUGCAUGCAUGAGACCCUGGGUUCGAUUCCACAGCACCA
Molecule: transfer RNA, 65 nt
Filed under: Dipodomys ordii (Ord's kangaroo rat)
Lineage: Eukaryota; Metazoa; Chordata; Mammalia; Rodentia; Heteromyidae
Rfam family: tRNA
About the family: Transfer RNA (tRNA) molecules are approximately 80 nucleotides in length. Their secondary structure includes four short double-helical elements and three loops (D, anti-codon, and T loops).
Source: Rfam by way of RNAcentral